GCAACGCGCAGAACCUUACCAACCCUUGACAUCCCCGGACCGCACCAGAGAUGGUGCUUCCCCAUUCGGGGCCGGGAGACAGGUGCUGCAUGGCUGUCGUCAGCUCGUGUCGUGAGAUCGUUCGGUUAAGUCCGGCAACGAGCGCAACCCACACUUCCAGUUGCCAUCAUUCGGUUGGGCACUCUGGAAGAACUGCCGAUGAUAAGUCGGAGGAAGGUGUGGAUGACGUCAAGUCCUCAUGGCCCUUACGGGUUGGGCUACACACGUGCUACAAUGGCGGUGACAAUGGGUUAAUCCCCAAAAGCCGUCUCAGUUCGGAUUGGGGUCUGCAACUCGAAGAGCAUGAAGUCGGAAUCGCUAGUAAUCGCGGAUCAGCAUGUCGCGGUGAAUACGUUCCCGGGUCUU
RNAcentral lists this ribosomal RNA (405 nucleotides) under uncultured Paracoccus sp. Its description in RNAcentral is "bacterial SSU rRNA". It matches the Rfam family "Bacterial small subunit ribosomal RNA", at positions 956 to 1382 of the family's 1533-position model. Lineage: Bacteria; Pseudomonadati; Pseudomonadota; Alphaproteobacteria; Rhodobacterales; Paracoccaceae. The record is from RNAcentral.